CAAAGGUAGCAUAAUCACUUGUCUAUUAAUUGUAGACCAGCAUGAAUGGCAAAAUGAAGGCCUAACUGUCUCUUAUAGUAAAUCAAUUAAACUGAUCUCCUAGUAAAAAAGCUAGAAUAACCACAUAAGACCAGAAGACCCUGUGAAGCUUAAACCAUACUACCAAACCCCAUGAUAGCUACUUUCGGUUGGGGCGACCUUGGAAUAAAAAAGAACUUCCAAAUAAUGACCAUAAAUCAUAUAUACCGGCCUACAAGCCCACACUUGACCCAGUAAGACUGAUAAUUGAACCAAGUUACUCCAGGGAUAACAGCGCCAUCUUCUUCAAGAGUCCAUAUCAAAAAGAAGGUUUACGACCUCGAUGUUGGAU
Molecule: ribosomal RNA, 370 nt
Filed under: Tachymenis peruviana (Peru slender snake)
Lineage: Eukaryota; Metazoa; Chordata; Lepidosauria; Squamata; Dipsadidae
Description: partial 16S ribosomal RNA
Rfam family: Bacterial large subunit ribosomal RNA
Source: RNAcentral